UCCCUGGUGGCUCAGACGGUAAAGCGUCUGCCUGCAGUGCAGGAGACCUAGGUUUGAUCCCUGGUUUGGGAA
Molecule: transfer RNA, 72 nt
Filed under: Bos taurus (domestic cattle)
Lineage: Eukaryota; Metazoa; Chordata; Mammalia; Artiodactyla; Bovidae
Also listed under: 2 other names
Rfam family: tRNA
About the family: Transfer RNA (tRNA) molecules are approximately 80 nucleotides in length. Their secondary structure includes four short double-helical elements and three loops (D, anti-codon, and T loops).
Source: Rfam by way of RNAcentral